Molecule: ribosomal RNA, 253 nt
Filed under: uncultured bacterium
Lineage: Bacteria
Description: partial 16S ribosomal RNA
Rfam family: Bacterial small subunit ribosomal RNA
Source: RNAcentral
UACGAAGGGGGCUAGCGUUGCUCGGAAUUACUGGGCGUAAAGGGCGCGUAGGCGGGUGUCUAAGUCAGAGGUCAAAUCCCAGGGCUCAACCCUGGAACUGCCUUUGAUACUGGACACCUAGAGUAUGGGAGAGGUGAGUGGAACUCCGAGUGUAGAGGUGAAAUUCGUAGAUAUUCGGAAGAACACCAGUGGCGAAGGCGACUCACUGGCCCAUUACUGACGCUGAGGCGCGAAAGCGUGGGGAGCAAACAGG